CAGGACGAACGCUGGCGGCGUGCCUAACACAUGCAAGUCGAACGAAGACCAUAGAGGAGCUUGCUUUAAUAUGGUUUUAGUGGCGGGACGGGUGAGUAACGCGUGAGGACUUGUCGAGUACAGGGGGGACAACAGGUGGAAAACGUCUGCUAAUACCCCAUAAGCCUUCGGGUAAAAGGAGCGAUCCGGUACACGAGAGACUCGCGUUCUAUCAGCUAGUAGGUGGGGUAACGGCCCACCCAGGCCAAGACGGGAUAGCCGGACUGAGAGGUCGAUCGGCCACACUGGAACUGAGACACGGUCCAGACUCCUACGGGAGGCAGCAGUGGGGAAUAUUGGGCAAUGGGGGAAACCCUUACGACCCAGCGACGCCGCGUGAGUGAAGAAAUCCCUCGGGAUGUAAAACUCUGUUGUGUGGGAAGAUAAUGACGGUACCACACGAGGAAGCCCCGGCAAACUACGUGCCAGCCGCCGC
This 475-nucleotide ribosomal RNA is filed under the name uncultured bacterium. RNAcentral describes it as "bacterial SSU rRNA". It matches the Rfam family "Bacterial small subunit ribosomal RNA", at positions 25 to 518 of the family's 1533-position model. The record is from RNAcentral.